Dromaius novaehollandiae (emu) is the source of this 4769-nucleotide long non-coding RNA. RefSeq lists it as uncharacterized. The record is from RefSeq and is a predicted model, not a curated record. The transcript is spliced from 3 exons. Lineage: Eukaryota; Metazoa; Chordata; Aves; Casuariiformes; Dromaiidae.
UGAGCCCACUGACCUCUCGAGCGACAUGGCUCUUGCUGUCGAGGGUGCUGUCUGUGGGGAGGCAUCGAUGCUGUUUGAUUUGCAUAAGCUUGGGUAUGGAUCCAUAUGGAUGGGCACGGCCUUUUAGGGAACAAAUGCUGUUUGAUCAAAUGGCUUAGUGAAAGAAGCAGCCCCUCUGCACUAAAGCACACCUGCUGUAUUGCUGUCAUAAAGUAGCCUCAGAAACUGUAUGACCUGAGCUGGCAAAGAUGGAACUUCCCUUCGGUGUAGCGAAGAGUUCAAGCUAAGAGCUAUGGAGCAAGUCAGCUGGGAACAAUGAGAGACUGAGUUGAAUCAUUUUCAAGAUCUACGGGCUAGUGUUUAGCUAGUGAAAAACAGUGGGAUGCAUGGGAUGUUUUGUUUCCCCUGUUCAUUUUAGAGGAGCUAUUGCUAGAAAAAAGUCUAUUUCCCAUGAGCUCUGUGAUAAGCUGCCUACACUGUAUCCAGUCACUGCUUAUGUGUUUGCAAGGUCAGGCACAAUCUUGCUGAUGUAGCAGGCAUGCUCUCUGCACUCUUUUUCUGAUUUUAUAUAUUGAUAUGGCACUCCUUCAACCCGCAGUGGUCUAGAUCAUUACAAAUUAAAUAAGAGAUUAAAUGAAAGCUCAAUGUUCCAAUUUUAUCUGCUCUCCAAGUGUGGCAUAUUGUCUUGGGCAGACUAUGAGCAAUUUCUAUGCCAGAUUAAAUACACUAAAUACAGAGAAUAUAUGAAAAAUAAGCAAAAAUAAGCUUAUCAUCACAAGCAAAAUGUGAAAGUUAAGCAUAAAGGGUAUCCGUACACUUACAUGUAGAGCAAUCAGGUCUUUGCAUUAGCAGACCCGUGAAAAUUCAUGUUUUUAUUCACUCUUUUGUAGAUGCUUAAUGGCCCUAGGGGAGCAAAGCUUUAGCUGAUGAACGCCUUGUAGCUCUGAAGUUGUUCAAAUUUCUUCCCUGUUCUGUUGUAUAUGAACCACUACACGACUGUGCUGAUGUGAGGUCUCCUGAGUAAUACGAAUUCCUAUGGAGAAAAAUGAUUUAAGAGAAGCUGCUGAAGCCAGUAUCACUUGGUUGUAUCAGACCCAACCAUAGGUCCUACUUAACAUAUUCUUGCAGGAGAGAGCUGGGCUGCUUUGGAAGACAUAUCUCUUGCUUGGGAACGAAUCCCAGGGAGUCUUACACGUUCAGACAUAUGAAGAUUUUGGCAUGCACUUGUAGAGUUACAAAGAUGAAUUUAAAGGUUGUUGGUUUAAGGGAUAGAUAAGAAACAUUUCCUCAUGUUUUUGUCUCGCUUAGCAGGAUUUGGUGGUGUGGGGAAGCAGAAUCACAGGGACAGAUGAUAUGGGCAGCAAGUUCUUACAUUCAAGGUGCAGUGGGUACAAAACCUGUUCCUCUAGCUAGAGACCUAUCCCACACUGAGAGUGUAGCUUUCACCCUUCCUCCUUUAGAUUUAGUGUGUGUCUGGGCUUUUUUGUUAGCUGCAAGUACUGCAUUAGCCUUGGUCGGAGGCUUUCCUGUCAUGUCCAGUUUAGUGCAGGUUGGCACAUUCCUACCAGCCAAAGCACUGUCUUGUCUGGUGAAAAGAUAAGGUUCAAAAUGUCACAGUUCAGGUAACACAUGACUGUCACAGUUUGGUCAGAAGAGAUCUGGAACCUUAAUAAGCUAGAGAACAGUGGAGUUAAAAGAUGAAAAGCUCCUUAGGGAAGACGAUGAGUGGAGUUAAUAUAACGAGGAGGGACUUGGGAAAAGGGUUACGAUGGGAGGGCUGUGCAGUCUCAGCAGUGGGCAAAUGGACUGAUGAUGAUUUUCUAAUCUAGGGAAAUAGGUAAGAUAUCAUGAUCUGUGGUAUAUGAGGCAGUGCUGGAUAGUUCCCUGAUGAAUUAAUACUGUUUCUGCUUGAUUAGACCAUAUUCCUUGCAUGUUGUCCUUCUUUCCUCAUGUCUGGUUAACAAUAUAACCCCAGCUACCUUUUCCUUAAACUAGUGCUCAAGGAAGAGUAAAAGUGAUGUGCGAGCGUGGCAUUAAAAUUGCCAUAUUUGUUGUGGUUUAUCUCAGCUGCAGAAAUAGCCAGAGAAUUAAUUUUGGCGCUCUUUGAUGUUUGGAAUUCAGAAACUCAAUCAGACAUUUCAGACACAAAAGUAUAACAGUCUAGACAUAUCCCAAAAUGUGAUAGAAAUUAGUUCUUCAUAUUUAACAAGAACAGAGUUUUGCCUUUAUUGUUAUAUAUAUCUAGGCUUGAGUGUAUAUGAAAGCAUGAGUAUAGGAAUAUCUGGACUGUAUUUCUCCUAAACUUAAAUAUUAUAAGCAAUUAUUUAGUACUGUAAGUAGACAAGGUAGCAGAGCUAAUCAAUAUGUAGACUUUCAGCUCUUAAGACGUGCAGUGAAGUAUGGUUUAGUUCACCAGUAGAAUGUGUUGGAUAAAGUAGGAAUUUAUAUGCAUCCAAUUACUGAGCUAAGAGACCAUGUUUUUAUAAUGCUUGCUUGAAUUAUGUAUGACAAGAGCUGAUAAACCCUCUGGUCCUACACUGUGCAAGCUGUGUAACUGUUAGGAGUGUAUUAAAAGUUCAUUAAACUUGCCCAUUAGCUUUUUAAAAUUAAGAAGAAAAUGGCCAUUUAAAUUUAUUGUAAUCAGAUUUUCUGCUGCUUGGUGGACCAUACAUUUCCACCAUUUCUUGUAAGUAAAAGCAGUCUUCCAGCUAAGAAAAGGUGACAAGAGUGAUAAAAAGAUGAUACACAUUUUUCACCGAGAACACUUAAUGUGCAUAAAUCUGGAGAGGAUGUUUUACUAUGAUGAAAAAAAAAUCUGAAAUCUAGUCAAAAAUUAAAGCAGAGAAGCACUUAAAAGGGGUAUAAAAAUGUUUCCUAUUUCAAAACAGCAAAAGUGGGUGCAAACAAAGAAAAUUAAAUGUCUUUGUUCAAUAACUUCAUUUUUGCCCCUUAGUUUCUUUAGAAUUGUAAAAUUUCAUUGAAAACCUUACACGUGAACUCAGAAUCAAAAUAUCAUUGUUUGGAUGAACAUAAAAAUGCAUUCUUGUCAGUUUGCCAGGAACUCUCCAAAAGUACAAGCAGAUUAGGAAUCCUGCCCAGUGUCUAAUUGCUAUACUUUCAAAAUGAUGGUGGAGGCAUGGAGAAAGUGAGGAACAAAAGAGGUUCUUUAUUAUUAUGUGAAAAGGAUAAUCUAAAAAUAAGACAGGUCUGGUUCUGUAUUUAUUGACUGCUCAUCUUAACAGCUCCGUAACCACAAUGGAAAUAUCUUUCAUUUAAGGUUCUAUAGAGAGAAUACUAUCUGAAGAGGGUUUAUUGCUGACUAUAGUUUAUGAAAAGAUGGGGUUUUAAUGAAAUAUGCAUAAAAGUCAUUUUAGAUAUGUGACCUACAUAAUCAUACUUGUCCUGAGAGGCUAGGUUUGAAAAUGCUUCUAUUCAGAGUAGUUAACCCCCCCCCUUGUAUUAUUUCUCAUUAAUUCAAUAUUCCUCUAAAAAGUAAAGCUCCCACAACAGCUUUAGUAAUCAGCCUUUCAGAUUUAUGAGCUAUUUUUUGCUAAUAUUGUUCUAUAAGACAAGGCUUCUUGAUCAAUUGCCAAGGAACUGUUUCAGUCUUUUUCCAGCACCCUGGUAUUCCAGCACAUUAACUUAUUUUUAAUUGAGUAACUUAAUUAUUCAUAAAAUUCCCUUUAUCAUAUUUCCACAAACAUUAACAGUAUUUUAUACAAGCAUUAUUUAAAUAUAAUCAAGUUGCUCCCUUCAUCUCCAUCUCUCUUCUUGUGCUGAAAAAAAUGAGUUUGAAGGCAAAAAACAAACAUAUUGGAGAAAUUAAAGAAGCUUAUGGUCAUUAAAACUACUCCUCAAAGUGCUUUACUGUGUCUUCCACAGCAUAUCUACUGCCAUGAAGGUUAUUUGCCUGUAGGAAUAGUGUCCUGGGUUUCAGGAGUACCUUAGGCUGCCCUAGGCUAUUUCCAUGACCAAGGCAAAAGUACAGUGUAUCGAGUGUGUCACUUCUCAUUACAUUUCUCAGUCUAUGCUCUUGCUUUCCUCCUUGCCUCAUUUGCUAAGUUUCUGUCUCUGGCAGGUCCCAGUCACAGCAUCUGCUGGUGGUCUUCAUGCAGUAUCUUGCUUCUCAUUUGGCUUAUGAUAUACCAGACUUCUGGACUACAAUAUGCAUGGCAAGGCAGUUGUCUUUGAGCUUAUAAAAUUGGUGGAUAAGCACUAAGAAAGUUUUUUUUUAAAUUAAUGGUAUUCUGUUCUUGUUUCCUUUAUGCUUGAAUGUUGCUCAUGAUUUCAUUGUGAAUUUGAUUUUAUGUUGAUCAUGUAAUUAGUUUGUACAUGUAAUACAUCUCUUGUAUAAUUUAAAUAUUGACUUAAGAGUGUGCUUUAAUGUACCUGGUUAGAAUGCAGCUAAAAAUAUAUGGACAUAUAGGUAUUUUUUGUAAAGAAAGAGAACUAUUUCAAAUUAUAUUUCUGUUGAUUUAGGUGUGCUGUAACUCUUAUUCCACUAAUAUUGAAAUGAAUUUAACAGUUGUUCACCCUUUCGUGAGUUAGUCCAAGGAAGACUGCAGUGACUUCUGAGAAUUGACUUUUCAUUGCUAUCACACAUUUUUCAGUAAUUUCUUCUGUUGUCUUGGUGACCAGAGUGCUUUUUUUACAGAGUGCAUCUUUACAUUGUCUUUAUUAAUGAAUUCCUCAUUGCUUUCUACUCUUUUGUUAAAUUUUAUUAUCACAUAUGGCUUAUUUGUAUUUCUUUAAAGCGAGAAAAAAUUCCA